This is a long non-coding RNA of Nanorana parkeri, 93 nucleotides long. RefSeq lists it as uncharacterized. The transcript is spliced from 2 exons. The record is from RefSeq and is a predicted model, not a curated record. NCBI's taxonomy places the organism in Eukaryota, Metazoa, Chordata, Amphibia, Anura, Dicroglossidae.
AUAGCUGUGGCCGUUGAUUCAUCCAUAAUACACCAAGCUGAAGAAGACAGAGACCACCUGCAUCAUUCUCCUCAGAGGUCCCAGCAACACUAU